CGAUCACUGAGGAGCCCCAUAAUAGGGCGAAACGACCGUCCAGUGC
This 46-nucleotide non-coding RNA is filed under the name Schistosoma curassoni. Lineage: Eukaryota; Metazoa; Platyhelminthes; Trematoda; Strigeidida; Schistosomatidae. The record is from RNAcentral.